Long non-coding RNA from Centrocercus urophasianus (Greater sage-grouse), 2194 nucleotides. RefSeq lists it as uncharacterized. Lineage: Eukaryota; Metazoa; Chordata; Aves; Galliformes; Phasianidae. The transcript is spliced from 3 exons. The record is from RefSeq and is a predicted model, not a curated record.
AAAUCCUCCAGAAUGCUGUCAGCCCCUUGCUAAGGCCCCAGGAGGGUGGAGGCACUCUGGCUGAUGGAUAUAGAGAAGCACACAGGGCUGUGGCAAUACAGUGCAGAGAUCAUCAAGAUCUUUUUCUGGAAUUAUUCAGAUAAGUUGGACUUAUUUUGGACUCGUGUUGGACAGUUGGCUGUAGCAGUGGGAUUGAAACAACCUCCCCCUCUUCCCUCACAUUGGUCAGGAAAUCAAGCUUGCUGACAUCCUGCCUGUAGGAAACACUGCUGAUGGACACAAGACAAAAGGAGACACCACAGCGCAGAAAACACCACUGGUGCCCAAUGGCAAACAGACACCCUGGAGCUGGAAAAACAAAAGCCACAGCCCUAAUGAGGGGAGGAAGUGAGCACAAAGAGGAAAGGCAUCGCCAACAUCCUGACCCCUGCCACAUCAAACAAUGUUGCCUUUGUUAGGAGCUUCUGGUUCAGCCCUGCUUUCACUGAAUUCACAGGGAUUUCAUCACUGAAUUCAACAGGAAAAGAGCAGGGUUCUGUGCAGAGCAAAACCAAAAUUAUCCUCCUUCCUAAACAAGAACUAUGGCCAUGCUGUUGUUAUGUAGAGAGUUGAAAAUGAAAUCCUUGCAAAAGUGGACUGGAGACCAGGCUCAUGCCUUGGGGUAAUUGCCAGCUGUGCCAUCUGAAAAAAAGCACACCAAAAUCCAGAUCCAAGAUGGCACCAUUGGAGGCAGUGAUGACAACUCACAGAACUGCUGACUGAAGGAGAGCUGUUUCACUGAAAACACUGAACAAGACCAAUUCCUCAGGUAACUGCGAUUCCUCAGGAGGCUGUAGGAAAGCCUUUUGUCAUCAAUACUUCUCUACAUCUUGCAGUUUGUCAGUGUAUAAUGUAUUGAGUUUUGAUUUAAAACAACAAACAAACAAACAAACAAACAAGAGUCAAAAGGAAUAAGGAUUUCUCCUGGAAUCAAAUGCAUAUCUUACUUCCAAGAAUUGCACUUUUCCAGAAAGGGAACAAGAAGACUGGGAACUUGCUCCAAGGAGUUUUAUCCUUUGCACAUCCAAUGAAAGGAAUCCAAAUCUAAAAAUACUUCAUAUUGCAGCCUACUUAUUGCCAAGAAUUCUCAGUCUCUCUGCAUCCACUUUAUUGUUUUUGGCACAGCGGGCACUUCCACUCUAUGCUAUUGUUAUUUGAGCAGUCUGAAACGAGGAAAGUAAUACCAACUCUAUCUCUAUGUUAAUUCUCUCCAGCAAUGCUGUUGCCAUAGUGAGGUUAUACAUGGAUUUAAAUGGGCGCAUGCAAAUUGAAAUCUAUCAGCUCUUAAAACCAGUUCAGUGUGUUUACUGUUUACAAGUCCUGCAUAUGCCUUCCAGAUUCCUUGAAAACUUUGGAAACGUCACAAUCUUGUCUUCUGUAUGUAAGAAAUGUUUCUCUGAUUAUAUCAUGAAAAAAAAAUAAUUCACUCUUUUCUAAUAUGAAAGAAUGGAUAUGGCAGUGCACAGCAUCUUGUCAAAUAUGUAAACAGAAUCACAGAAUUGCAGGGGUUGGAAAGGACCUCAAGAGAUCAAGUCCAACCUCUUGCUAAAGAUCACACAGGCAGGGGUCCAGAGGGGUCUUGAAUAUCACCAAAGAAGGAGACUCCACAACCUCUUUGUGCAAUCUCCUCCUUCUUGCCCUUUUUGCAGACAGCAGUGACAUUGGCCGUCUUCCAGUCUUCACGCUCAACUCCCGUUUGCCAAGACCUUGCAAAGAUGAUAGUUGUUCAGCAGCCACCUCUGCCUUUCCCUCAGCACACGUGGGUGCAUCCACAAUCCAAAACCUGAUUUUCUUUCCCUCUUUGUAGCAUUCAUUUCUUACACGUUAUUUUCAGAUACCUACAAAAUAAGUUCCAAUUAAAUAAUACUUGGUUAAAAAGGUGCUACCACACAUCAAAUCUGUAUUUAUAUACACAUGUAUGCAUACAUACACAUAUAUCUGUCUCUAUUCAUCACCAGCUAUUUGAGUCAAAACAUUUCACAAAUAGCAAGGUCUCUACAAUGUGUUUUGUUUGUGUGAUGAUCUGUGAAAUAUGCAUUGAAGUUUUUUAGGCUUUGAGUAUAUGAAAAAACACUACCUUUUCAAAUAUUGUGUAAAAAAAUUAAAAUGGGAUUUUAUCCAAUUUUGAAUGCUUGAUAAUUAUGCUAUCAGAAUA